This 694-nucleotide ribosomal RNA is filed under the name uncultured Bacteroidales bacterium. RNAcentral describes it as "bacterial SSU rRNA". It matches the Rfam family "Bacterial small subunit ribosomal RNA", at positions 32 to 715 of the family's 1533-position model. The record is from RNAcentral. Lineage: Bacteria; Pseudomonadati; Bacteroidota; Bacteroidia; Bacteroidales.
AACGCUAGCUACAGGCUUAACACAUGCAAGUCGCGGGGCAGCAUGUCGGUUGCUUGCAACCGAUGAUGGCGACCCGCGCACGGGUGAGUAACGCGUAUCCAACCUGCCCAUCACUUGGGAAUAACCUUGCGAAAGUAAGACUAAUGCCCAAUGACAUUUAUAGAAGGCAUCUGAAAUGAAUUAAAGAUUUAUCGGUGAUGGAUGGGGAUGCGUCUGAUUAGCUUGUUGGCGGGGUAACGGCCCACCAAGGCGACGAUCGGUAGGGGUUCUGAGAGGAAGGUCCCCCACAUUGGAACUGAGACACGGUCCAAACUCCUACGGGAGGCAGCAGUGAGGAAUAUUGGUCAAUGGCCGCGAGGCUGAACCAGCCAAGUAGCGUGCAGGAAGACGGCCCUAUGGGUUGUAAACUGCUUUUAUAGGGGAAUAAAGUGAGCCACGUGUGGUUUUUUGCAUGUACCCUAUGAAUAAGGACCGGCUAAUUCCGUGCCAGCAGCCGCGGCAAUACGGAAGGUCCGGGCGUUAUCCGGAUUUAUUGGGUUUAAAGGGAGCGUAGCCCGGAGAUUAAGCGUGUUGUGAAAUGUAGACGCUCAACGUCUGCACUGCACCGCGAACUGGUUUCCUUGAGUACGCAUAAAGUGGGCGGAAUUCGUGGUGUAGCGGUGAAAUGCUUAGAUAUCACGAAGAACUCCGAUUG